AUGAGGAUCAUAAAAGAAUGCACUGGUUCACCUAGUGGAAGAUGUGUUAUUCAAAAAGUGAAGGGGGUGGGGUUUAGAGAUCUUUAUUCCUUCAAUUUGGCUAUGCUUGCAAAGCAAUGUUGGAGACUCAUUACCAAUCCAGAUUCCCUAUGUGCACAAGUGUUGAAGGCGAAAUAUUACCCCAAUGCUAGCUUAGUACAAGCUACAUUAAAAAAUGGAGCAUCUUUUACAUGGCAAAGCAUCAUGAAGGGGCUUGAGACGUUCAAACUAGGAUAUAUUUGGAGGAUUGGUGCAGGGGAGAAUGUUAACAUAUGGAGGGAUCCUGGGAUACCAGCUAGCCCGGAUAGGAGGGUAAUCUCAAACCAUGGACAAUCGAUUCUAUCGGUGGUAAGUGAUCUCAUUGACCCUAGCACGGGCACAUGGGAUGAACCCUAA
This 435-nucleotide ribosomal RNA is filed under the name Triticum aestivum (bread wheat). Its description in RNAcentral is "partial small subunit ribosomal RNA". The record is from RNAcentral. Lineage: Eukaryota; Viridiplantae; Streptophyta; Magnoliopsida; Poales; Poaceae.